CCUACGGGAGGCAGCAGUGAGGAAUAUUGGUCAAUGGACGAGAGUCUGAACCAGCCAAGUAGCGUGAAGGAUGACUGCCCUAUGGGUUGUAAACUUCUUUUAUAUGGGAGUAAAACAGGGUAUGCAUACCCUCUUGUAUGUACCAUAUGAAUAAGGAUCGGCUAACUCCGUGCCAGCAGCCGCGGUAAUACGGAGGAUCCGAGCGUUAUCCGGAUUUAUUGGGUUUAAAGGGAGCGUAGGUGGAUUGUUAAGUCAGUUGUGAAAGUUUGCGGCUCAACCGUAAAAUUGCAGUUGAAACUGGCAGUCUUGAGUACAGUAGAGGUGGGCGGAAUUCGUGGUGUAGCGGUGAAAUGCUUAGAUAUCACGAAGAACUCCGAUUGCGAAGGCAGCUUACUGGACUGCAACUGACACUGAUGCUCGAAAGUGUGGGUAUCAAACAGGAUUAGAUACCCGGGUAGUC
RNAcentral lists this ribosomal RNA (460 nucleotides) under uncultured bacterium. Its description in RNAcentral is "partial 16S ribosomal RNA". It matches the Rfam family "Bacterial small subunit ribosomal RNA", at positions 338 to 795 of the family's 1533-position model. The record is from RNAcentral.